UACGUAGGCAGCGAGCGUUGUUCGGAGUUACUGGGCGUAAAGGGUGUGUAGGCGGUUCUUUAAGUUUGGUGUGAAAUCUCCCGGCUCAACCGGGAGGGUGCGCCGAAAACUGGAGGGCUAGAGUGCGGGAAGGGAGAGUAGAAUUCCUGGUGUAGCGGUGAAAUGCGUAGAUAUCAGGAGGAAUACCGGUGGUGUAGACGGCUCUCUGGACCGCGACUGACGCUGAGACACGAAAGCGUGGGUAGCAAACAGG
RNAcentral lists this ribosomal RNA (253 nucleotides) under uncultured bacterium. RNAcentral describes it as "partial 16S ribosomal RNA". It matches the Rfam family "Bacterial small subunit ribosomal RNA", at positions 524 to 776 of the family's 1533-position model. The record is from RNAcentral.